Long non-coding RNA from Mauremys mutica (yellowpond turtle), 881 nucleotides. RefSeq lists it as uncharacterized. The record is from RefSeq and is a predicted model, not a curated record. The transcript is spliced from 3 exons. Lineage: Eukaryota; Metazoa; Chordata; Testudines; Geoemydidae.
UGCUGACGGGCAGCGAGACCUUUGCUCGGCUGUGGCAAUCCGGGCUCUGGGCUCGCCGCCCGCAGGGCCAGCCCGCGCCGGGAGCAGGUGGCGCCAGGUGCACGCGCGGCGCGGGCGCUGCCCGAGGCAGAACUAGGUCCUAAGAGGAACCAAGGAACAAUUAAGGGGCAAGGUUUUUCAUACAUGCUCUUUGCUCCCGAAUGAUUUGAGGAUGCAUGAUGUAAAUCCACUAAUACCACUUACCACCAUCAUAGGUUCUGCCUGGCUCAUUGCACAGAACAGGACAUGCUCAUCCAAACAGGGAUCUCCUUUAAAAAGGAAGCCAAACUCUCAGUGAUUGCAGUCUCCGUUUCUGCUGGCUGGAGAGUGAGACAGCAUGCUUAUGUACAUGGAACACUGGUGAAGCACUGACAAUGUUUCUACAACUAUUUUUAUUGGUUAGAUUUUUGAGUAUACAGAACCUGAAAUGUCUACAAGGAUCAAUACCUGUCCCCAUCACCAAUAUCUACAGAAAUCACUUGGAGAAAUACUGUAAUGAGACUCCACAGGCACAGCAUAUGCCAGUGACACUCAACUAUCUUUCUCAUUCUCCACUACUGCAACCAUCAGCAUUGCUGAGAUCUCAGAAUUCAUAUGUAACCCUACUGCCCGUCAGAGUUGGCAGCAACAAGGGCUGGGUUCAGUAUCUAGGGGUUCUGUUUCAAUGACACAAUGCAAAACUGGCUCGAGCCCCAACCCAGUGACCUGGAAAAAUUACAUACCAUUCCCCUGGGCACCUCUAAGAGGCAGUAUUUCCCCUCUUGCAAGCACAGAGUCUGAGUGUAGCAAAAGCCUUUUAAUAAAGGAGGGAAGCAAUGCGGCAUUAUGUUGGGGAAACACUG